This 78-nucleotide microRNA precursor is filed under the name Ascaris suum (pig roundworm). Its description in RNAcentral is "microRNA asu-mir-79 precursor". Its record names the gene asu-mir-79. It matches the Rfam family "mir-9/mir-79 microRNA precursor family". From Rfam's summary of the family: The mature ~21nt miRNAs are processed from hairpin precursor sequences represented here. miR-9 is processed from the 5' arm of its precursor, and miR-79 from the 3' arm. The bounds of the precursors are predicted based on conservation and base pairing and are not generally known. The record is from miRBase by way of RNAcentral. Lineage: Eukaryota; Metazoa; Nematoda; Chromadorea; Rhabditida; Ascarididae.
UUGUCUUUCCCUUUGGUUAUCUGGCUGUAUGAGUGAGCCAUAACAUCAUAAAGCUAGGUUACCAAAGCUAAGCACAAU